GAUGAACGCUGGCUACAGGCUUAACACAUGCAAGUCGAGGGGAAACGCCGGGGAAGCUUGCUUCCCCGGGCGUCGACCGGCGCACGGGUGAGUAACGCGUAUCCAACCUGCCUCUGACUGAGGGAUAACCCGUCGAAAGUCGGCCUAAUACCUCAUGGCAUCGUCUGCGGGCAUCCAACGACGAUUAAAGAUUUCAUCGGUCAGGGAUGGGGAUGCGUCUGAUUAGCUUGUUGGCGGGGUAACGGCCCACCAAGGCUACGAUCAGUAGGGGUUCUGAGAGGAAGGUCCCCCACAUGGGAACUGAGACACGGUCCAAACUCCUACGGGAGGCAGCAGUGAGGAAUAUUGGUCAAUGGGCGGGAGCCUGAACCAGCCAAGUAGCGUGCAGGAUGACGGCCCUAUGGGUUGUAAACUGCUUUUAUGCGGGGAUAAAGUGAGGGACGUGUCCUUCAUUGCAGGUACCGCAUGAAUAAGGACCGGCUAAUUCCGUG
Molecule: ribosomal RNA, 491 nt
Filed under: uncultured bacterium
Lineage: Bacteria
Description: partial 16S ribosomal RNA
Rfam family: Bacterial small subunit ribosomal RNA
Source: RNAcentral